GACACGACUCUCGACAAUGGAUAUCUCGGCUCUUGCAUCGAUGAAGAGCGCAGCGAAAUGCGAUACGUGGUGCGAAUUGCAGAAUCCCGCGAACCAUCGAGUCUUUGAACGCAAGUUGCGCCCGAGGCCAGCUGGUCAAGGGCACGUCCGCCUGGGCGUCAAGC
Molecule: ribosomal RNA, 164 nt
Filed under: Cyrtochilum sp. Whitten 2727
Lineage: Eukaryota; Viridiplantae; Streptophyta; Magnoliopsida; Asparagales; Orchidaceae
Description: 5.8S ribosomal RNA
Rfam family: 5.8S ribosomal RNA
About the family: 5.8S ribosomal RNA (5.8S rRNA) is a component of the large subunit of the eukaryotic ribosome. It is transcribed by RNA polymerase I as part of the 45S precursor that also contains 18S and 28S rRNA.
Source: RNAcentral